AUUGAACGCUGGCGGCAGGCCUAACACAUGCAAGUCGAACGAGUGGCGGAUGGGUGAGUAAUGUCUGGGAAACUGCCUGAUGGAGGGGGAUAACUACUGGAAACGGUAGCUAAUACCGCAUACCAUCGGAUGUGCCCAGAUGGGAUUAGUUAGUAGGUGGGGUAAAGGCCCACCUAGGCGACGAUUCCUAGCUGGUCUGAGAGGAUGACCAGUCACACUGUAACUGAGACACGGUCCCAAGUCCUAAGGUAGGCAGCAGUGGGGAAUAUUGCACAAUGGGCGCAAACCAAAUGCAGCCAUUCCGCGUGUAUGAAGAAGGCCUUCGGGUUGUAAAGUACUUUCAGCGGGGAGGCGUUACCCGCAGAAGAAGCACCGGCUAACUCCGUGCCAGCAGCCGCGGUAAUAC
Molecule: ribosomal RNA, 406 nt
Filed under: uncultured bacterium
Lineage: Bacteria
Description: partial 16S ribosomal RNA
Rfam family: Bacterial small subunit ribosomal RNA
Source: RNAcentral